UUUUUUUUUUUUUUUUUUUUUUAAAUUGGGAAUGAAUGGAUUCAAUCAAUGGUGAUUAAAAAAACAUUGAUUUGAAAGCAUUUGGAGGGGAAAACUGCGAGAUUUCUCCAAUGGCAUCAGCUAGUUCUCGUAGGCAAGUGGUCGCUGAAGCUGGACGCCGUAAGCUUGAGCAGUUUCGGAAACAAAAAGCAGCUAAAAAGGCAUCACAAAGUACUAUUACCACACAGCAGCCUGUUGAUAAUAGCCAGCAAAGUGUUUCAGAUUCAGAUGGACCUCUUCCUCUUGCAUCUCUGCCUAAUGGACCUCUCAAUCAAGUUUCCUCUAUUGAAACCCAUGUACAUAAUUUAUCAUUUUCGAAUAUAGCAACACCGAAUGAUGGAAGUAAAAAAGAUGAUGGUCAGGAGGAAUCAGUGGGAAAACUUGAUUUUUCUAAUAGCUUAGAGUUGAUUGGUUCCACACAGGACUUAACAGUGAAUAAUAGGCCUGACGUUGUACCUUAUAGCAAUAUAGACAUGCAAUCGAGUGGAAGUUUUGAUCGUGCUUCUACUCUAAGAGAAAGUGAUGGUGUUGUUAAAGGCACAUCUCCCUUUUCUGGAAGCUCUCUGCUAUCAACCUCGAUGCAAAUGGAUGGUUUCAUUCAUGGCGGUGGAUUAAUCUCACCAAGAAAAGACUCAUUACAACCUACUACCAGGAUGGCAGGGUCUUUUCACGAAGUUUCCAAAAACCAACAGAGAAGUGGUGAACUAGGAGGAGGUAGCAUUGUGCAGAAGCCUACUUUGUCUAGCAGUUAUUUGUUUAGUUCUCCAGACACAUCAUCUCGACCUUCUGAAUCUUCAGAUUACAGUGUAAAUAUCACAAGCUCUUCACCAUUUAACUCAGCUAAAAGUGAAGCAACUGUGAAGAGAUCUCGUCCGUCUUUCCUUGAUUCCCUCAAUAUUUCAAGAGCUCGAGAGACUCAAACUCAAUAUCAACACCCUGAGAUUGAAGCAGAUUUGGUUACAUCCAGUGCUUCCCAACUAACUGGCACUGAUGGUUUUGGGCCAUCUUCGCUCCAAUAUAUGUCAGGGAAAAGAGACAGUAAUGGACCAUCUUUGACAAGCGGAGCAUAUGAUUCUCCUAAUCCAUUUGAAAAAUUCCGGAGUUCUUUGUAUCCUGCUGCCAAUGGAGUAAUGCCAGGUUUUACUGAUUUCUCCAUGCCAAAACAAAAUGAUGAUUUUACUGCUCUGGAACAGCAUAUUGAGGAUUUAACACAAGAAAAAUUUUCACUGCAAAGGGAUCUUGAUGCUUCACGUGCGCUGGCAGAAUCCUUAGCAUCAGAAAAUUCUUCGAUGACAGACACUUAUAACCAGCAGAGAGGUCUUGUCAACCAACUAAAAGAUGACAUGGAGAGGCUAUAUGAACAGAUCCAAGCCCAAAUGGGGGAACUUGAGUCUGUCAGGAUUGAGUAUGCAAAUGCACAGCUAGAAUGUAAUGCUGCUGAUGAGCGUUCCCAAAUACUGGCUUCUGAAGUCAUCAGUUUGGAAGAUAAGGCUCUCAGACUCAGAUCUAAUGAGUUAAAGCUGGAAAGGGAACUGGAGAAUGCACAAGCAGAAAUGUUAUCUUACAAGAAAAAAUUACAGAGCCUAGAGAAAGAUCGUCAAGAUUUACAAUCUACUAUUAAAGCUCUUCAAGAAGAGAAGAAGGUCCUACAGACUAUGGUACAGAAAGCUUCUAGUGGUGGAAAAUCCACUGAUCUGAGUAAAAGCUCAACUAGCCGAAAAAACGCGUCAACCUCUACAGAAGGUCUAGCAAUCUCAGAUACUACGCCAGAGAGUUUCAACCAGGAAACAGAUUCCACUUCUCUGCUUGAAAGUAAUUCAUCUAAUACAGCUAUCGUUCCUGAAACUGGACAAUUAACUCUUGAAGGUUUUUCAUUGAGCGUCCCAGCUGAUCAGAUGAGAGUGAUUCAUAACAUUAAUACGCUGGUUGCUGAGUUGGCAAUUGAGAAGGAAGAACUCGUGCAAGCACUGUCAUCUGAGUUAUCUCGAAGUGCGCAGGUGCAGGAGCUGAACAAAGAGUUAUCCAGAAAACUUGAAGCACAGACCAAAAGGUUAGAGCUUCUAACAGCACAGAAGAUGGCCAUAGACAAUGUUUCACCUGAAAAGCAGCAGCCGGAUUCUCAUGUUGUUCAAGAGAGAACACCGAUUGCAGAUGAAGGCGAUGAGGUGGUCGAAAGGGUUUUAGGAUGGAUUAUGAAGAUGUUCCCAGGAGGACCGUCGAAAAGAAGGACAAGCAAGCUUCUCUAAUGCGUGGCUCGCUCAGUCGUGACCCUUGUUGCCAUUCUGUAUAUCCCGGGCACAGCCAUGGAUUGCUUCUUCUCCUUUAGUUUUGGAAGAAGUUCAUUUUGGUUCUUUUGAUCCUAAAUUUUGGAUUUCAUUGGAUUGAGCAAAAGUGGUAUAGUGAGAGACACCUUGAAGAGUUCCAAAUGGAUAGAGACACGGAAGCUCAAACAGAGCGAGAGAGAUGUUAUAUGCAAAUGAAUAUUCCAGAAGUGACAUUUGAAGUAUUGCUGCGACUUCCAUUGAAAAGCAUCGCAAGAUGCAGAUCAGUGCGGAAAGAAUGGAAACGUCUGAUCGAUUCGGACUUCUUCCGAGAUCAAUUCAUCUCACGCAACUCUUCCUCAGUCUCAUGGCCAAUCAUCCAAACUGACACUUGAAAUCGUUGGUCAUCAUGCAUGCAAAACAUGGGAACUUGCUUCUUCUCCUGGAUCAUUAGUGAGUUUUUUUGCCAAAGCCACAAUCAGGAAACUACUAGUCUUGCUUGGUCUUGCUUUACGUACAAGCUAGCGAUGGAACUCCUAUUUAUGUAUUACGUUGGUAAUCCUUUAUUUCAAGAAUGGUUUCGAAUACCUCUUUGUGAACAUAACUACACUCCGCAAUAUGUUGAGGGAUUACGGAACAACGUGCGUUUCAGCUACAGUGUAUUGGUUACAAAGAUGCAAGGUGGUACUGUCGUGAGCUACAAGGUUGUGUGGUUGAUCGCUCAGGAUGAUGCUAAAGUCGAUUUUGCGAUUUACUCAUCUGAUACAUACAGGGAUGUGGGAAGUUAAAAAUGGGGUGACUUGUCUUCAUUCUGCCUUCUGGUUUGGUCCAUUGCAUUGAAUGGGAUUCUUCAUUGGCUUUCCAACCUCACCGGUUCUUUCGUAGCUUACAAAUUCUGUGAAUGUCAUGAAGAUGCGUGUCACAUCAUAUAUUUCCCUGACAGUGGAAAAUAUUAUGAGUUACCGCGUUUUCGGAGAACCAUCACGACCUCGGAAGGGUCUAUGCAUAGUAAUGGAAUCCGCACAUUACGGAGUUGGAGGCUGGUCAACUACACUGAAAUUGGUCCUAAGGCGUGACAGCUCUUUUGGGAAGUCAAGUUGGUGUCUUUGACCGAGCUAGGUAUCGGUUAUUUCCUGGUGGUGAUGCAUCCUUUAAACUGUGAGAUCAUAUACUUGUGGAGCAGAAACAAGAAAGGUAUGGUGUUGCUUAACUUGAGGAUUAAAGUGUUUAGUCUUCACAAGGAAACUGAAGACGCUCAUAAGUGUAUGGAUGGUUGCGUCUUGAGUUUUAACAGUUGCAGCGAGUAUAUGGAGAACGUUUCUAAUUACUUUCUCCCAUCGU
This is a non-coding RNA of Camelina sativa (false flax), 3641 nucleotides long. The record is from RefSeq and is a predicted model, not a curated record. Lineage: Eukaryota; Viridiplantae; Streptophyta; Magnoliopsida; Brassicales; Brassicaceae.